RNAcentral lists this ribosomal RNA (597 nucleotides) under uncultured bacterium. RNAcentral describes it as "bacterial SSU rRNA". The stretch from base 1 to 517 matches the Rfam family "Bacterial small subunit ribosomal RNA", at positions 338 to 873 of the family's 1533-position model. The record is from RNAcentral.
CCUACGGGAGGCAGCAGUGGGGAAUCUUGCGCAAUGGGCGAAAGCCUGACGCAGCCAUGCCGCGUGAAUGAUGAAGGUCUUAGGAUUGUAAAAUUCUUUCACCGGGGACGAUAAUGACGGUACCCGGAGAAGAAGCCCCGGCUAACUUCGUGCCAGCAGCCGCGGUAAUACGAAGGGGGCUAGCGUUGCUCGGAAUUACUGGGCGUAAAGGGAGCGUAGGCGGACAUUUAAGUCAGGGGUGAAAUCCCAGAGCUCAACUCUGGAACUGCCUUUGAUACUGGGUGUCUUGAGUGUGAUAGAGGUAUGUGGAACUCCGAGUGUAGAGGUGAAAUUCGUAGAUAUUCGGAAGAACACCAGUGGCGAAGGCGACAUACUGGAUCAUUACUGACGCUGAGGCUCGAAAGCGUGGGGAGCAAACAGGAUUAGAUACCCUGGUAGUCCACGCCGUAAACGAUGAUUGCUAGUUGUUGGGAUGUUUACAUCUCGGUGACGCAGCUACGACAUAAGACAAUCCGCCGUCGGGAGGUACGGUCGCGAGAAUUAAACUACAAGAAGUAGUAGCGNGAGAGNGCGACGACGACGACGAGGGAGGAGGAG